RNAcentral lists this ribosomal RNA (421 nucleotides) under uncultured eukaryote. RNAcentral's name for it is "bacterial SSU rRNA". It matches the Rfam family "Eukaryotic small subunit ribosomal RNA", at positions 592 to 1018 of the family's 1831-position model. The record is from RNAcentral.
CAAUAGCGUAUAUUAAUGUUGUUGCAGUUAAAAAGCUCGUAGUUGGAUUUCUGGUGGGAGUGGCCGGUCCGCCGUAAGGUGUGUACUUGGUUGUCUCCCGUCAUCCUUGUGGGAACUGCUCUGGCAUUAAGUUGUCGGGGUUAGGGAACACAUCGUUUACUGUGAAAAAUUAGAGUGUUUAAAGCAGGCUUAUGCCGUUGAAUACAUUAGCAUGGAAUAAUAAGAUAGGACUUUGGCGUCUAUUUUGUUGGUUUGCACACCAAGGUAAUGAUUAAUAGGGAUAGUUGGGGGUGCUAGUAUUCGGCGGCCAGAGGUGAAAUUCUUUGAUCCGCUGAAGACUAACUUAUGCGAAAGCAUUCACCAAGGAUGUCUUCUUUAAUCAAGAACGAAAGUUGGGGGAUCGAAGAUGAUUAGAUACCGU